This 970-nucleotide long non-coding RNA is filed under the name Homo sapiens (human). RNAcentral's name for it is "HSALNT0401520". The stretch from base 206 to 292 matches the Rfam family "ZNFX1 antisense RNA 1 conserved region 3". Lineage: Eukaryota; Metazoa; Chordata; Mammalia; Primates; Hominidae. The record is from RNAcentral.
AGGGAGGUUCAGGAAGCCAUUCGUUCUUUCGCGUCUGCGGUGCCCGGAGUGUGGUACUUCUCCUAGUUGCAGUCAGGCUUCAUACGCUAUUGUCCUGCCCGUUAGAGCAGCCAGCGGGUACAGAAUGGAUUUUGGAAGAGGGAGUCACCACUGGACCUCCAAGGAAGCCACGUGCAGACAUCUACAACCUUCGAUCUCCUGACGAGUUUAUUGUUGGCCAAAACCAGGCUUUGAUUGAACCAGGAUGAAUGCGGGUGUUGGAAGUAGAAUAUAUAUAUACAUAUAAAAUUGAAACUGGCGAUGGAAUAUGAGAGGAGCCCUCUGGAAAGAAAAGGACAGACCCUGUGCUUUCAUGAAAGUGAAGAUCUGGCUGAACCAGUUCCACAAGAUUUUGCCUGCCUGAGCUCCUCUAGUAGUGGCCACAAUUGCCAGAGAAGAUAGAGCAGGUCUCUCCCAGGACUUGCAGCUCCAGCCUGUGUCUGCAAGGGGUGUUGUAGCGACUGAUUUCUCCAGCCCAUGGCAAGAGGCCUUCAUCUUGUGCCUGGAAAGAGGGAAGUACAAGUCCGUCUGGCAGAGAUGGUGCAGAUGGGCAAGUUUUUCAGACACUGCAGCCAGCACUUCUGGGACCGCAGCAGUGGAGCCUGCAGAGGGCCGGUUCUCCAGGCAUGGGCUACUGACAUUGUCACUUCCAGACUCCUUAUGCAAUAAACAACCCCUAAACAGAUUUAUUCACAAUUUCUCCAUCCUAACAAGUCAGUGAUCAGUUUUCACUUUUCCACAUUCCCUUCUGUCCCCAUUAUGUUCCCAUAGUGGGGCAGCUUCUACCUGCAUGGUUGGAGCUUCCCAUUUUUAAAGAGGCAAGAAAUCCUUUAAAGUUCUUUGAAAUGUUUGUAGCCUGUUCCAAUUUUAUAAACUGUGAAGACUGAGCAACACACAAUGCAUGGGCCUCAUAUGGCCUGGAGGCCACCAG